This 479-nucleotide ribosomal RNA is filed under the name uncultured bacterium. RNAcentral's name for it is "bacterial SSU rRNA". It matches the Rfam family "Bacterial small subunit ribosomal RNA", at positions 28 to 496 of the family's 1533-position model. The record is from RNAcentral.
GAUGAACGCUAGCGGCAGGCCUAAUACAUGCAAGUCGAACGGCAGCACGGGAGCAAUCCUGGUGGCGAGUGGCGAACGGGUGAGUAAUAUAUCGGAACGUGCCCAGUCGUGGGGGAUAACGCAGCGAAAGCUGUGCUAAUACCGCAUACGAUCUCUGGAUGAAAGCGGGGGACCUGCAAGGGCCUCGCGCGAUUGGAGCGGCUGAUAUCAGAUUAGCUAGUUGGUGGGGUAAAAGCUCACCAAGGCGACGAUCUGUAGCUGGUCUGAGAGGACGACCAGCCACACUGGAACUGAGACACGGUCCAGACUCCUACGGGAGGCAGCAGUGGGGAAUUUUGGACAAUGGGCGCAAGCCUGAUCCAGCAAUGCCGCGUGCAGGAUGAAGGCCUUCGGGUUGUAAACUGCUUUGUACGGAACGAAAAAGCUACUUUUUUAAUAAAGUCGAGUUCAUGACGGUACCGGUAAGAAUAAAGCACCGG